RNAcentral lists this ribosomal RNA (253 nucleotides) under uncultured bacterium. RNAcentral describes it as "partial 16S ribosomal RNA". It matches the Rfam family "Bacterial small subunit ribosomal RNA", at positions 524 to 776 of the family's 1533-position model. The record is from RNAcentral.
UACGAGUGCCUCAAGCGUUAUCCGGAAUCACUGGGCGUAAAGGGUGUGGAGGUGGUCAUGUUAGUCUUCUGUAAAAUUCUUCGGCUUAACCGGGGGCUCGCAGGGGAAACGGCAUGACUUGAGGGUGCGAGGGGUGAAUGGAACUCAUGGAGUAGGGGUGAAAUCCGUUGAUAUCAUGGGGAACACCAAAAGCGAAGGCAAUUCACUGGCGCAUUCCUGACACUGAAACACGAAAGCGUGGGUAGCGAAUGGG